This is an RNA transcript of Vicugna pacos (alpaca), 526 nucleotides long. It is a transcript of the gene named ATP synthase-coupling factor 6, mitochondrial pseudogene, with no coding region annotated. The record is from RefSeq and is a predicted model, not a curated record. Lineage: Eukaryota; Metazoa; Chordata; Mammalia; Artiodactyla; Camelidae.
CCCGGAAGCACCUACCCUCCACUUCUUUCUCCUGUUUGGUUUCUGUCUCACUUAGAGCUGUCCAGUCGCAGACUGUCUCCAAUACGCUUCCUGUCCAUAACAGAAUCAGCAUGAUUCUUCAGCAGCUCUUCCGGUCUUCCUCUGUCAUUCAGGCUGCAGUCUCAGUCUCUUUGAGGAGGAACAUUGGUGUUACAGCAGUGACAUUUAAUAAGGAACUUGAUCCUGAUCAGAAACUCUUGGUGGACAAGAUUAGAGAAUAUAGAACUAAGCGACAGACAUCUGGAGGACCUGUUGAUACUGGCCCAGUGUAUCAGCAAGAACAGGACAGGGAGCUUUUUAAGCUUAAGCAACUGUAUGGUAAAGCAGACAUGAAUAUGUUCCCUAACUUCACAUUUGAAGAGCCCAAAUUUGAAGCCAUUGAAAAACCAUAGUCCUGAAGAAAUAAUGUAAAGGUUUUCUGGUAAUUUGUCCUAGAUUAGUUGUACAACUGAUCAGAAGUAUCAGAAUAAACAUACAUUUCACAACU